Molecule: long non-coding RNA, 1903 nt
Organism: Gasterosteus aculeatus aculeatus (three-spined stickleback)
Lineage: Eukaryota; Metazoa; Chordata; Actinopteri; Perciformes; Gasterosteidae
Source: Ensembl
UAGCAGUUAUAUUAUUUUUGUUAACAGUUUACAAAUGGAUACUAUGUACAAACUAUGUGCACCACUUGUGUCAAUUUAGUUAUUCCUCUUGAAGUCUGAAGUUUACUUGAAGUAGCUUUUAUUUAUUAUUUGAAAAUUUGCACUACAGAGGCAGCUUAUUUGCACUACUACCUCUGAUUUUCUGGCUAAAUGACAACCAGGCAUUUUGUUUUUGUGUCUUGUCAAGUGUCAGAUCUCUUCAGAAGUAAAAUGUCUGAAAACUGAAGAUGUGUGUCUGUGAUUGAUCAAUAUGGGUCAAACCAAACCAGAUCAACUUAUUUCAGAAAGCUUUCACACAGGACGAUUAAGAAUUUCUCAUUCUUUAUGUGGAUAAUGGUAUUCUACCAAACAUGCAAACAUUGACACUUGGCAAUGUCAAUAGAUUCCAUUCAAGUGGCUUGUUAACUAUGUACAAUGUCAAAACAGAAAACUGUAAACAUAUUUGCUUAAACGUCUUGUACAUUUAAAUGCUGUGAUGAACAUCGCCAAAACAUUUUGAACAAAGAUCUUAAAGGGCAUUUGUAGCAGACAGUUUUGUCUGAAGCUCAGUAUGACUGAGUAUGACACACUGGAUGACACGCUGGAAAGAGGUUUGUUCCUUUUAAGGAUCCAGGAAUUGGGUUAGGAUUCUCCUGACUCUCUUCCCUUCUGCUGUCAUGGAGUCACCUCUGACAGCUGGUUGUGUGUCUGGCUGGUUGUCCAUGUCAUACUGAAUUGACUCAACUAUACUGUGGGAGUUUACUUUGUCCUUAGAAGCCUCACAUUAAUUGUAUAGGACAAAACACGCAUGAAUUACAAAGUGCAGAUCCUCUAGAUCAGUUGUGCCCAACUCGCGGUCUACCAGUCGAUUGCAGGCUGAGUUGGAGUUAAACGCAGGUAAUUUGAACCCAGGACACUUUGUUGCGUCGUUGAACACAGAAAUUGACCCACAGCCAUACUAAGUUGGGUCAUGGUGCCCACACUCUUACACAUUAAACAGUAACAUUUGAGCACAGCACAACAUUAAACAGUAACAUUUGAGCACAACACAACCUAGAAAAACACACAUAAACUUAAACACUAGAACAUGAACAUAACAGAUAGGGAUUUAAAUGGAUCCAAAGAUUGUCCCAUAAUGCAAUGCGCCUACCAGCGCAGCCUAACGCGCUACUGUAGCGACUCUCGAUAAUGGAACUCGAGACAUCAAUUUGAUUUUAAUAGAUUUAUUUAGAAACAGGGGAACAGAGCUGCUGACUUUUCCAAAAACCUUGGCGUGAGACCAGCCGGGGUGCACACACGAACACCGACGACGCUCUUUCUGCUCCGCUGAUGGGAGCGCGCGGACGUAUCCGCGCAGCGCGAUACCGUGCGCGUUGUAAACGUGACCAUGGACAGGAAAUGGAACCUUACAUUACUGUUGUGUUCUGGUGCCCCUCUUUUUCAAUGGUAGUCUCCCAUUUUUUUUGGCGUGAGAAAUCGGAGGUGUGGCGUGAGAGCGUGUGAAACCGAUCAAAUGCGUGGGUCUCACGGCCAAUGCGUGAGAGUUGGCAGCCCAGGCUAUGGGCAAAGACUGGGCGGAGCUUGAGGGUGCACGUUAUGAUGACCAAGUGCAGAGCAUCUUGUCAGAAUUUGACAGGCGCUUCACUGACUUUGCAUCCAUUGAGCCUGUUGUCAGCUAUCUCUGUUUUCCAUUUGGGGGAAAUGUAGAUGUGGAUUUGUAUAACGUCCAAAGUGGCAUUAAUCUUCAACCUGGAUAGCUGUGCUAUUGAGAAUGAGAUCCUCACACUGAAGAAUGACAUUGAGCUCAAAUCCAGAGCAACACCUGACAUGAAUGUCCAAUUCUGGAAUCUAAUGCAGAAAGAGAAGUACCCCAACCUCAGACAAA